This 270-nucleotide long non-coding RNA is filed under the name Phoenix dactylifera (date palm). RNAcentral's name for it is "long non-coding RNA (PDAC_LNC009347)". The record is from RNAcentral. Lineage: Eukaryota; Viridiplantae; Streptophyta; Magnoliopsida; Arecales; Arecaceae.
UGUCGAAUAGAAGAUUAGGAAGACUAGUAAUCCCUCCUAACAAUAUUUGUUUCUUUCAUUUUUCCCAUCCUUCCCUUGUAUUCUUUUCCUUUAUAUUUGUAUGCCUAUAGUCUAUUACUAGGAAUGGGAUACACGUAAUGAAUUCCAGACAUCCCACAAACAAAACAAAAAUAGUAUAAACAAAAAGGUUUACAGUAUUUUUUGAUCAUACAUAAGUAUCGAGCGACAAUAAUUUGUUGCUUUUUACCAACUUAAUGUUAAGGAAUUUCU